CAGUUCCUCGGGACGCAGCAGUGAGGAAUAUUGGUCAAUGGCCGGAAGGCUGAACCAGCCAAGCCGCGUGAAGGACGAAGGUGCCAAGCAUUGUAAACUUCUUUUGUCAAGGGACAAAAUCAGGCUCGAGAGCCUGACCGAGGGUACUUGAAGAAAAAGCAUCGGCUAACUCCGUGCCAGCAGCCGCGGUAAUACGGAGGAUGCGAGCGUUAUCCGGAUCUAUUGGGUUUAAAGGGUGCGUAGGCGGGCUGUUAAGUCGGCGGUAAAAGCCCGGGGCUCAACCCCGGCGAGCCGUUGAAACUGGG
RNAcentral lists this ribosomal RNA (305 nucleotides) under uncultured bacterium. Its description in RNAcentral is "bacterial SSU rRNA". It matches the Rfam family "Bacterial small subunit ribosomal RNA", at positions 334 to 637 of the family's 1533-position model. The record is from RNAcentral.